Molecule: ribosomal RNA, 486 nt
Filed under: uncultured bacterium
Lineage: Bacteria
Description: partial 16S ribosomal RNA
Rfam family: Bacterial small subunit ribosomal RNA
Source: RNAcentral
ACUCAAAGGAAUAGACGGGGGCCCGCACAAGCAGCGGAGCGUGUGGUUUAAUUCGAGGCUACGCGAAGAACCUUACCCAGAUUUGACAUGCAAGUAGUAGUGAAGCGAAAGCGGAACGAUCCUUCGGGAAGCUUGCACAGGUGAUGCAUGGCUGUCGUCAGCUCGUGCCGUGAGGUGUUUGGUUAAGUCCAGUAACGAGCGCAACCCUUAGAGCCAGUUACAAGUGUCUGGCUCGACUGCCGGUCUUAAGCCGGAGGAAGGUGGGGAUGACGUCAAGUCAGCAUGUCCUUUAUAUCUGGGGCUACACACACGCUACAAUGGGCGGUACAAUGGGUUGCCAACUCGCGAGAGGGAGCCAAUCCUCCAAAACCGUCCUCAGUUCAGAUCGCAGGCUGCAACUCGCCUGCGUGAAGUCGGAGUUGCUAGUAAAUGCAGGACAGCCAUACUGCAUUGAAUACGUUCCCGGGCCUUGCACACACCGCCCGU